CAUCUUUGUCAUCAAAACAUCAAACAUGCUCCACUUCAGUCACUCUGUAACUGUGGUAGCCAAGGAAGGGUGUGUUUUUAACAAAAAAUAGCAAACAUUGUUUUUGAUAUGUUGCUGGAGCUGGAAUAAUUCAUUAAAGAGUGGACCUGUUGGCCUCAAACUCUUGCCCAGAUCAGUGUUAAGAGUGAUUUCAGAACAGCUGAUUGGCCCUGAAGUGUUCCAUUCUGUGGAGCAGUGAUUUCAAAUGUGGUAUGACUGCAUUUUCUUGAGAUGACUGGCCUUCAUCUGUCUCUUCCUCGGGACAACCAGAAGGCUUGAAAUGUAAAACUCAGACAGCCUUUUGAGAGCCUCUGUGCAGUAUGGAGUCCUUAAACUUUUGAAAGCAGUUGCAGGAAUUUGGAUUACUAUCUGGAACACUGGCAACACUUAAUAACCAGAAAAUGUCAAAAGAGAAUUUGGUGGUAGGCAAGUAGUAGUAUGUAGCAUGACUUUAGUUUCUCCUUUACUUUGAUAGUCCAUGAAAGGAACACUGUAUAAUCUUUCCAUCUUGUAAUUCUGUAUUUAUUUAUUUCAGAGGCUGUUUAACUAGAGGAAAUGUGUUCCUGACAGUGUUUCUAAACAGUAAUUUUUUUUAUAGACUCAACUCUCCUCAUGGAUUAAAUCUCUUACUAUCACAAACCAGGCUAAUUCUGUACCAAGAAGGUACUGUGUCAAACAUACCUGAAUUUCCCAGUGUAAAUGCAGCCAGGAGUCAGCUGCUUCUCAUGGCUUGCAAUUCGUCAACAUGGUUAAAUUAGGGGUUGACUCCUCUUUAUGCUGGUCUGAGGGUAGAGUUCAGUCUGUGUAGCUGGAAGUAUGAAAAAUGCCAAACUUUUUUUGACAAAAGCCAUCUCUAGUGCUGAGGUAUCUGCAUUCCUGCCUGGUAAAAAGGGAUGCACAGAGCUGGGUGUCCUUAAGAGGGCUCAAAUGGGAUAAAUAUGUAGUAUUUUGAGUCCGAAAUAGGUUGGGAUAUGCCAGAAAGGAUAUGUAUCUCCACAAGCCAUAGGAUUUUUAAAGAGAGCUGAUAUAGUGGAAAUAAUUUUCCUAAUUCACAAUGAAAAAGAAAAACGUUAAAUGUUAUUGGCAUAGAAUUUCUCUGGCAAGAGAGGGCUGCUGUCUCUAGUGGGAGAGAUAUUUCAAGGGAAAUCAACAU
Neopelma chrysocephalum (saffron-crested tyrant-manakin) is the source of this 1192-nucleotide long non-coding RNA. RefSeq lists it as uncharacterized. The transcript has 3 exons. Lineage: Eukaryota; Metazoa; Chordata; Aves; Passeriformes; Pipridae. The record is from RefSeq and is a predicted model, not a curated record.